This 497-nucleotide ribosomal RNA is filed under the name uncultured bacterium. RNAcentral describes it as "partial 16S ribosomal RNA". It matches the Rfam family "Bacterial small subunit ribosomal RNA", at positions 28 to 507 of the family's 1533-position model. The record is from RNAcentral.
GAUGAACGCUGGCGGCGUGCCUAAUACAUGCAAGUCGAGCGAACAGACGAGGAGCUUGCUCCUCUGACGUUAGCGGCGGACGGGUGAGUAACACGUGGAUAACCUACCUAUAAGACUGGGAUAACUUCGGGAAACCGGAGCUAAUACCGGAUAACAUGUUGAACCGCAUGGUUCAACAGUGAAAGACGGUCUUGCUGUCACUUAUAGAUGGAUCCGCGCCGCAUUAGCUAGUUGGUAAGGUAACGGCUUACCAAGGCAACGAUGCGUAGCCGACCUGAGAGGGUGAUCGGCCACACUGGAACUGAGACACGGUCCAGACUCCUACGGGAGGCAGCAGUAGGGAAUCUUCCGCAAUGGGCGCAAGCCUGACGGAGCAACGCCGCGUGAGUGAAGAAGGUCUUCGGAUCGUAAAACUCUGUUAUUAGGGAAGAACAAAUGUGUAAGUAACUAUGCACGUCUUGACGGUACCUAAUCAGAAAGCCACGGCUAACUACGUG